Mastomys coucha (southern multimammate mouse) is the source of this 1237-nucleotide long non-coding RNA. RefSeq lists it as uncharacterized. Lineage: Eukaryota; Metazoa; Chordata; Mammalia; Rodentia; Muridae. The record is from RefSeq and is a predicted model, not a curated record. The transcript has 2 exons.
GGGUAUUCUGGCCAGCCCAGAGUCAUCAGAUGCCAGGCUGCCUUUGACCUGUUCUCCACACCAUCCCUGGCAGAGCAGGGCCCUGCCUGCAUACCUUUCUUCGUUUGCUCUACAUCAGGCAGACAGCAGAAAGGACUUCCGGUCCAGAUCAGGAGGCUCAUGAAUCUAAUUCUCUGUGGGCUGUCAGGAAGAGAGUCACACACAUCUGUGCUGGAUGACAGGUUGACCAGGGAAGAGUCAGGGGCAUAACCAUAAUGACCUUUCCUAACCUUGUCAAAGUGGCCCAGGUCUACUUGCUCCUAGGUUCCCAUCAAUGGCUCAAGCACCAUUAAGUAUCUUAGAAUAAAAAUCUGACUUCGAAAUCAAUUGAUGGAGAAAGGUUCCUCAAACAUUUCCCAUAGAAAGUAAUUAAAUUCCAAUAGGUGAAGAUGGAGCGGCUGGUGACGUGCGGUGCCCCCCGCCCCCGCACCCACCCCCACCCCAUCCCCCGCACUGGCGCCGGGCUGCUGAGCAAUGAAAUCACGGGCGUGCGCAGCCCAGAGCUGGCAGCCGCACAAAGGAAAUGGGAACAGUCAAAUAUCUCCCUCCUCGUUGAGUUCCAUUUACAUGUUUAUAAUAGAGGUUCUUAAGGCCCUAAUGAGAAGGCUGCUCAUCGCAGGGAAGAGGAUGAUUAAGGUUCUGCCAGACGAGAUCGGGGACGGGAACAAAGGACUGUUAAUUACUACAGAGGGACGGACAAGGGAGAGUCAGGCCCAGGCUGGUGCCGCUCUGCUCUGCUCUGCUUUCCCAACAUCUCCUCUGUCCCCUGCGCAGGUGACUUCUGAGGAGUGGGUGGGGCAGCUCUGGGGGUUACAGGCUCUGUCUCUGGGGACACAUUCAAAGACUUUCCCAAGGAGUAUUUCAGGUUAGACCGUGGCGCAUGCUGUUGUGUAAUCCAGGAGCAAGGGAGCAGAAGACACCACACUGCUUGCUUGGCCACUGGGUAGGCCACUCAAAGGCAACUCGCUUGAACUUUGGGCCCAAGAAAGGGACAUCACCCAAGACAGAUGAAAAAAUCUCUGCCCAGGCUGGAGGAUGCCUGAGAGACUUAGAUCCAGGUCAGAACUGGUGGCUACCCAUGUCUCCUGAUGCCAAAGUGAGGCCUUGUUAACAACUAGAGUUCAUGGUAUGUGGGAGAAUGACAGAUGUACUGUCAUGUUCUAAGACCUUUAUCAUAUUACUAAACAUCUACUAUGUU